This 151-nucleotide ribosomal RNA is filed under the name Salinivibrio sp. PR5. RNAcentral's name for it is "partial 23S ribosomal RNA". It matches the Rfam family "Bacterial large subunit ribosomal RNA", at positions 2792 to 2925 of the family's 2925-position model. The record is from RNAcentral. Lineage: Bacteria; Pseudomonadati; Pseudomonadota; Gammaproteobacteria; Vibrionales; Vibrionaceae.
GCUGGCCCCGAGAUGAGUCAUCCCUAGAGCUUCGAGCUCUCUAAAGGGUUGUCGUAGACGACGACGUUGAUAGGCAGGGUGUGUAAGCGCUGUGAGGCGUUGAGCUAACCUGUACUAAUUGCCCGUGAGGCUUAACCAUACAACACCCAAG